Molecule: non-coding RNA, 922 nt
Organism: Schizosaccharomyces pombe (fission yeast)
Lineage: Eukaryota; Fungi; Ascomycota; Schizosaccharomycetes; Schizosaccharomycetales; Schizosaccharomycetaceae
Source: the annotation of a GenBank genome assembly
UUAGCAAAAUCUCGCAUUUUCCAAUAAUGACAAUCCCACCUGGAAUCACGAACAACAAAGGAUACUUUUGUUCUGCACAAGAAGGAUCAUAUGAAAUUUGCGACAGACCUAGAGUGACCGUACCCAUUGUACUCGUAUCAGCAGCUGCGGUAAAACUAUACGACAAUGGUCCAUGAACACCUAGCCAAAUUUGUAAUCCGACCGAAUAGCCUCCAAUUUUAAAUUGUAAUGAGCGCGAGCUCUCCAAAUAUUCGGGUGGCUCUUCAAUAUAUGGAUAAUCAGUAACCGUUGGUACAGGAUUUUGAUUGAAUGGUAACAUCAUCGUACAGUCAAAAUGUGAUAUGCCCACUAUAGUCCAGCAUACAGAAUCUCCAACUCGAGUCAUUUCAUUUGAACUCAAGUUUCCAACAGCUUCCCAUUCUAUGGGCAAUAUAGCCUCACUAGAUGCAUUUCUGUUUUGUGCCGACGUGGCCCCAAGAAACCAACGGACUGAAAUAUUAUUGGAAUAUGCCAGUGAACUAUGCUCAGCGAUCUUAAGAUGCCGUACGUUUGAUAUGGGAUAUGCGCUUUCUAAUACAAUUCUAUGCAUUUGAUUAACGUAACCGUCCUCCUCAGCAAUGUGGUCUUUUUCUACUCGUCGAAUAAUUAAAGGGUCACUCGUCGUUCCUGUUGCUUCAUCGACCAAUUCAACGAUGGAGCCAUAUUUAAUGGGUUCUGGGUUAUCGACAUCGUCGCAUACCUUCAGUUUACCAUUUUCAUCUGGUAAUAGCAGGUUAAUACGCAAUGGCACCCAUCUAUCACCGCGAAGACAAAACUGACCAGCCUCAAUCGAUGUAUACUUUGUACGUACAGUUUGUGAAUUAAUCCGGUUAUAAAGGCUGACGACUGAACCGGAUCGCAACGUAAUAUUACUAAUUUUUAG